CCUACGGGGGGCAGCAGUGGGGAAUAUUGGGCAAUGGAGGCAACUCUGACCCAGCAACGCCGCGUGAAUGAUGAAGGUCUUCGGAUUGUAAAGUUCUUUUCUAAGGGAAGAAGAAAGUGACGGUACCUUAGGAAUAAGCCUCGGCUAACUACGUGCCAGCAGCCGCGGUAAUACGUAGGAGGCAAGCGUUAUCCGGAAUGACUGGGCGUAAAGGGUGCGUAGGUGGUUUGACAAGUUAGUAGCGCAACUCCGGAGCUCAACUUCGGAACUACUACUAAAACUGUUGGACUUGAGUGCAGGAGGGGCAAUCGGAAUUCCUAGUGUAGCGGUGGAAUGCGUAGAUAUUAGGAGGAACACCGGCGGCGAAGGCGGCCUGCUGGACCGCGACUGACGUUGAGGCUCGAAAGCGUGGGGAGCGAACAGGAUUAGAUACCCUAGUAGUC
RNAcentral lists this ribosomal RNA (443 nucleotides) under uncultured bacterium. RNAcentral's name for it is "partial 16S ribosomal RNA". It matches the Rfam family "Bacterial small subunit ribosomal RNA", at positions 338 to 795 of the family's 1533-position model. The record is from RNAcentral.